This 181-nucleotide non-coding RNA is filed under the name Deltaproteobacteria bacterium. RNAcentral's name for it is "6S RNA". It matches the Rfam family "6S / SsrS RNA". From Rfam's summary of the family: E. coli 6S RNA was the first non coding RNA to be sequenced, but its function was unknown until recently. It consists of 184 nucleotides that fold into an extended hairpin structure with a large single-stranded internal bulge. Lineage: Bacteria; Pseudomonadati; Myxococcota; Myxococcia. The record is from RNAcentral.
AUUCCCCUGCGGAGUGCGUGAUCAGCAGAUCGUUUUGGGCCAACACACACGAAGAGGGAGCCCUCCCUUGCUGCCGUGUGCCCGCCUCACUCCGGUGAGGACGCCUGACGCAGCAAAAGGGUACCCACCUGUUGAGGGUUGGGUUCAACAAGACUGCUGACACGGCUCAGGCGGGGGAACA